This is a small nucleolar RNA of Aplysia californica (California sea hare), 71 nucleotides long. RefSeq annotates it as small nucleolar RNA U54. The record is from RefSeq and is a predicted model, not a curated record. The transcript has a single exon. Lineage: Eukaryota; Metazoa; Mollusca; Gastropoda; Aplysiida; Aplysiidae.
GAGCGCUGAGGACACUUAUUUUGGAUUGAUCAUUUGACCAUGAUUUAUUUAUACGCUAUUCUGAGCUCCUA